This 774-nucleotide ribosomal RNA is filed under the name uncultured Neocallimastigales. RNAcentral's name for it is "partial large subunit ribosomal RNA". It matches the Rfam family "Eukaryotic large subunit ribosomal RNA", at positions 26 to 637 of the family's 3401-position model. The record is from RNAcentral. Lineage: Eukaryota; Fungi; Neocallimastigomycota; Neocallimastigomycetes; Neocallimastigales.
CGCAUCUGUGCAUGCAGCAUAUCAAUAAGCGGAGGAAAAGAAACUAACAAGGAUUCCCCUAGUAACGGCGAGUGAAGCGGGAAGAGCUCAAAUUUGAAAUCUUAAAGGGUUUCCCUUUACGAAUUGUAGUUUAAAGAAGUGUUUUCUGUUGAGGUUUUGGUAAAAGUUCUUUGGAAUAGGACAUCAUAGAGGGUGAGAAUCCCGUAUUUGACCUUUACUUUCAACUUUGUGAUACACUUUCAAAGAGUCGGAUUGUUUGGGAAUGCAGUCCAAAAUGGGUGGUAAAUUUCAUCUAAAGCUAAAUAUUGGCGAGAGACCGAUAGCGAACAAGUACCGUGAGGGAAAGAUGAAAAGAACUUUGAAAAGAGAGUUAAACAGUACGUGAAAUUGUCAAAAGGGAAGCGUUUGACACCAGUGUUGUUUUUCUGAAAAUCAAUUAAAGAACUGUUUAUGCUAAGCUGUUUAGACUUUAUCAGCUAACUGUUUAGUUUUGAGCUUUUCUUUAAUGCACUUUUCAGUUAACAAGUCAACAUCAAUUUCUUUUGCUGUAAAAAAGCUUGAGGAAGGUGGCUUGAGAUUCGUCUUAAGUGUUUAUAGCCUCUUGCCUAUGCAGUCGGAGAGAUUGAGGUCUGCAGCGUAGAUCCUUCGGGGCUAAAUGCAUUUGUGCUAAGUUAUAACAUUUCAUAGACAACUUGUUGACUAUGAUUUGUCUUGUAGCUUACUCGCUUAUGUUAUUUUACCUACGCUUAGGAUGUUGACAGCAGUAUAGACUGU